Molecule: ribosomal RNA, 254 nt
Filed under: uncultured bacterium
Lineage: Bacteria
Description: partial 16S ribosomal RNA
Rfam family: Bacterial small subunit ribosomal RNA
Source: RNAcentral
UACGUAGGGUGCGGGCGUUAAUCGGAAUUACUGGGCGUAAAGCGUGCGCAGGCGGUCUGUUAAGACCGAUGUGAAAUCCCCGGGCUUAACCUGGGAACUGCAUUGGUGACUGGCAGGCUUUGAGUGUGGCAGAGGGAGGUAGAAUUCCACGUGUAGCAGUGAAAUGCGUAGAGAUGUGGAGGAAUACCGAUGGCGAAGGCAGCCUCCUGGGCCAACACUGACGCUCAUGCACGAAAGCGUGGGGAGCAAACAGG